AGUGGUGUGGUCUUUAUUUCUUUCAUCAUGAAUUCUUGUGUAAUAUAUUUUUUAAAAUGGUUGAAGUGUGAACCUUCUUGCUUUGCAAUUUGCAAGCAAAACCUUUGAGUGGAAGAGAGGGAGAAAGGAAAGAGGGAAGAAAGAAGGAAAGAGAGAGAAAAUAAAAUAAAAUAAAAUAAAGAGUCGAAAUAAAAGAAGAAAGGAUUAAAAACAAAGGGAUCAAAAUGAAAGCUAAGAACAAAGAGAGUGUAGGCUGAAAAUAGAGAAGAAUCAAGAUGAGAGCUAAGAAUGGAGGUUGAAAACAAAGGAGGUGAAAAUAAGGGCUAUAGUUGUAAUGAUGGUUAUAAUAGGAUGGAUUGAUUUAAUAAAAGAGUGGAUCUAUUUUAAAAAAUUAUAUAUAGAUAUAGAUAUAUAAGAAUAUAUAUGAAGUUAUUAAAGCCACAUCCUAAUGUU
Molecule: long non-coding RNA, 453 nt
Filed under: Physcomitrium patens
Lineage: Eukaryota; Viridiplantae; Streptophyta; Bryopsida; Funariales; Funariaceae
Description: long non-coding RNA (PPAT_LNC003515)
Source: RNAcentral